UACGUAGGGCGCAAGCGUUAUCCGGAAUUAUUGGGCGUAAAGAGCUCGUAGGCGGUUUGUCGCGUCUGCUGUGAAAACUGGAGGCUCAACCUCCAGCCUGCAGUGGGUACGGGCAGACUAGAGUGCGGUAGGGGAGAUUGGAAUUCCUGGUGUAGCGGUGGAAUGCGCAGAUAUCAGGAGGAACGCCGAUGGCGAAGGCAGAUCUCUGGGCCGUAACUGACGCUGAGGAGCGAAAGCAUGGGGAGCGAACAGG
This 253-nucleotide ribosomal RNA is filed under the name uncultured bacterium. Its description in RNAcentral is "partial 16S ribosomal RNA". It matches the Rfam family "Bacterial small subunit ribosomal RNA", at positions 524 to 776 of the family's 1533-position model. The record is from RNAcentral.